GCGGCGCAGCUGGCCGAGCUCGGGCCACCGGGCGUGGGAGGCGUUGGGGCCUGCAAGCUGGGUCCGGGCAAGGGCUCUCGCAAGAAGAGCAAAUCUCCAAAAUGAUGGAGCUGGCCAGAGAGAAACAGGCGGCAGAGCUGAAGGCCCUGAAGGAGACGUCGGAGAAGUACGACUGCCUCCCUCCCACACCUGCCUCGCCUCCCAGCAAGGGCUCAGCCGCACAAAACAGCUCCUUCAUGCCUGUCUCUCUGCAGCGACACCAAAGAGAUGAAGAAAAAGCUGGAGACGAAGAGACUGGAGCGGAUCCAGGGCAUGACCAAAGUCACCGCAGACAAGAUGGCCCAGGAGAGGUUGAAGAGAGAGAUUAACAACUCCCACAUCCAGGAAGUAGUGCAGGUGAUCAAGCAGAUGACGGAGAACUUGGAGGGGCACCAGGAGAAGCUGGAGGAGAAGCAGGCGGCUUGCCUGGAACAGAUACGGGAGAUGGAAAAGCAGGUAACAGGUUCACUACUGGGGCCCCCAGCAGAACUGAAGGGGUUCCGGGUUGUAAAGGGGCCUUGCCCCAGGGAGCUGCCAGUGAGAGGGUAGGGGAAGGGGGCCGUCAUCCUUCACUGUGGGGUCCCGAGGCCCUUUCAAAUGAGGCAGCUCUGCAGAUCUCUGCCUGGUUAGGAUCCCCUUUCUCGAGAGGCUUCUGAUGGGCU
This 701-nucleotide small RNA is filed under the name Pongo abelii (Sumatran orangutan). RNAcentral's name for it is "retained intron". The record is from RNAcentral. Lineage: Eukaryota; Metazoa; Chordata; Mammalia; Primates; Hominidae.